Molecule: ribosomal RNA, 2933 nt
Filed under: Escherichia coli
Lineage: Bacteria; Pseudomonadati; Pseudomonadota; Gammaproteobacteria; Enterobacterales; Enterobacteriaceae
Description: bacterial LSU rRNA
Rfam family: Bacterial large subunit ribosomal RNA
Source: RNAcentral
GGGUUGUGAGGUUAAGCGACUAAGCGUACACGGUGGAUGCCCUGGCAGUCAGAGGCGAUGAAGGACGUGCUAAUCUGCGAUAAGCGUCGGUAAGGUGAUAUGAACCGUUAUAACCGGCGAUUUCCGAAUGGGGAAACCCAGUGUGAUUCGUCACACUAUCAUUAACUGAAUCCAUAGGUUAAUGAGGCGAACCGGGGGAACUGAAACAUCUAAGUACCCCGAGGAAAAGAAAUCAACCGAGAUUCCCCCAGUAGCGGCGAGCGAACGGGGAGGAGCCCAGAGCCUGAAUCAGUGUGUGUGUUAGUGGAAGCGUCUGGAAAGGCGCGCGAUACAGGGUGACAGCCCCGUACACAAAAAUGCACAUGCUGUGAGCUCGAUGAGUAGGGCGGGACACGUGGUAUCCUGUCUGAAUAUGGGGGGACCAUCCUCCAAGGCUAAAUACUCCUGACUGACCGAUAGUGAACCAGUACCGUGAGGGAAAGGCGAAAAGAACCCCGGCGAGGGGAGUGAAAAAGAACCUGAAACCGUGUACGUACAAGCAGUGGGAGCACAGAGCAAUCUGUGUGACUGCGUACCUUUUGUAUAAUGGGUCAGCGACUUAUAUUCUGUAGCAAGGUUAACCGAAUAGGGGAGCCGAAGGGAAACCGAGUCUUAACUGGGCGUUAAGUUGCAGGGUAUAGACCCGAAACCCGGUGAUCUAGCCAUGGGCAGGUUGAAGGUUGGGUAACACUAACUGGAGGACCGAACCGACUAAUGUUGAAAAAUUAGCGGAUGACUUGUGGCUGGGGGUGAAAGGCCAAUCAAACCGGGAGAUAGCUGGUUCUCCCCGAAAGCUAUUUAGGUAGCGCCUCGUGAAUUCAUCUCCGGGGGUAGAGCACUGUUUCGGCAAGGGGGUCAUCCCGACUUACCAACCCGAUGCAAACUGCGAAUACCGGAGAAUGUUAUCACGGGAGACACACGGCGGGUGCUAACGUCCGUCGUGAAGAGGGAAACAACCCAGACCGCCAGCUAAGGUCCCAAAGUCAUGGUUAAGUGGGAAACGAUGUGGGAAGGCCCAGACAGCCAGGAUGUUGGCUUAGAAGCAGCCAUCAUUUAAAGAAAGCGUAAUAGCUCACUGGUCGAGUCGGCCUGCGCGGAAGAUGUAACGGGGCUAAACCAUGCACCGAAGCUGCGGCAGCGACGCUUAUGCGUUGUUGGGUAGGGGAGCGUUCUGUAAGCCUGUGAAGGUGUACUGUGAGGUAUGCUGGAGGUAUCAGAAGUGCGAAUGCUGACAUAAGUAACGAUAAAGCGGGUGAAAAGCCCGCUCGCCGGAAGACCAAGGGUUCCUGUCCAACGUUAAUCGGGGCAGGGUGAGUCGACCCCUAAGGCGAGGCCGAAAGGCGUAGUCGAUGGGAAACAGGUUAAUAUUCCUGUACUUGGUGUUACUGCGAAGGGGGGACGGAGAAGGCUAUGUUGGCCGGGCGACGGUUGUCCCGGUUUAAGCGUGUAGGCUGGUUUUCCAGGCAAAUCCGGAAAAUCAAGGCUGAGGCGUGAUGACGAGGCACUACGGUGCUGAAGCAACAAAUGCCCUGCUUCCAGGAAAAGCCUCUAAGCAUCAGGUAACAUCAAAUCGUACCCCAAACCGACACAGGUGGUCAGGUAGAGAAUACCAAGGCGCUUGAGAGAACUCGGGUGAAGGAACUAGGCAAAAUGGUGCCGUAACUUCGGGAGAAGGCACGCUGAUAUGUAGGUGAAGUCCCUCGCGGAUGGAGCUGAAAUCAGUCGAAGAUACCAGCUGGCUGCAACUGUUUAUUAAAAACACAGCACUGUGCAAACACGAAAGUGGACGUAUACGGUGUGACGCCUGCCCGGUGCCGGAAGGUUAAUUGAUGGGGUCAGCGCAAGCGAAGCUCUUGAUCGAAGCCCCGGUAAACGGCGGCCGUAACUAUAACGGUCCUAAGGUAGCGAAAUUCCUUGUCGGGUAAGUUCCGACCUGCACGAAUGGCGUAAUGAUGGCCAGGCUGUCUCCACCCGAGACUCAGUGAAAUUGAACUCGCUGUGAAGAUGCAGUGUACCCGCGGCAAGACGGAAAGACCCCGUGAACCUUUACUAUAGCUUGACACUGAACAUUGAGCCUUGAUGUGUAGGAUAGGUGGGAGGCUUUGAAGUGUGGACGCCAGUCUGCAUGGAGCCGACCUUGAAAUACCACCCUUUAAUGUUUGAUGUUCUAACGUUGACCCGUGAUCCGGGUUGCGGACAGUGUCUGGUGGGUAGUUUGACUGGGGCGGUCUCCUCCUAAAGAGUAACGGAGGAGCACGAAGGUUGGCUAAUCCUGGUCGGACAUCAGGAGGUUAGUGCAAUGGCAUAAGCCAGCUUGACUGCGAGCGUGACGGCGCGAGCAGGUGCGAAAGCAGGUCAUAGUGAUCCGGUGGUUCUGAAUGGAAGGGCCAUCGCUCAACGGAUAAAAGGUACUCCGGGGAUAACAGGCUGAUACCGCCCAAGAGUUCAUAUCGACGGCGGUGUUUGGCACCUCGAUGUCGGCUCAUCACAUCCUGGGGCUGAAGUAGGUCCCAAGGGUAUGGCUGUUCGCCAUUUAAAGUGGUACGCGAGCUGGGUUUAGAACGUCGUGAGACAGUUCGGUCCCUAUCUGCCGUGGGCGCUGGAGAACUGAGGGGGGCUGCUCCUAGUACGAGAGGACCGGAGUGGACGCAUCACUGGUGUUCGGGUUGUCAUGCCAAUGGCACUGCCCGGUAGCUAAAUGCGGAAGAGAUAAGUGCUGAAAGCAUCUAAGCACGAAACUUGCCCCGAGAUGAGUUCUCCCUGACUCCUUGAGAGUCCUGAAGGAACGUUGAAGACGACGACGUUGAUAGGCCGGGUGUGUAAGCGCAGCGAUGCGUUGAGCUAACCGGUACUAAUGAACCGUGAGGCUUAACCUUACAACGCCGAAGGUGUUU